GCACCUGACUUUUAAUCAGGGUGUCGAAGGUUCGAGUCCUUCAUGGCUCA
Molecule: non-coding RNA, 50 nt
Organism: Paenibacillus sp. IHB B 3415
Lineage: Bacteria; Bacillati; Bacillota; Bacilli; Caryophanales; Paenibacillaceae
Source: Rfam